GUUUAAACGGCCGCAUAUGUGCUAAGGKAGCAYAAUAAUUUGUCUUUUAAUUGAGGACUAGUAUGAAAGGCAUAACGAAGCCCAACUGUCUCUCCCAAUCUUAAAUUUAAAUUGAUUUAGAAGUGAAAAAUCUUCUAUAACACUAGAGGACGAGAAGACCCUGUAGAGUUUUAGUAUAAGAAGUAUAAACAACACUUCAGUACUUUUAUUGGGGCAAUAGAGGAACAAAAAAAAUCCUCCUAAUUUUAAUAAUAUAUUAGAAAAGAUCCUCAAAGAGAAUAAGAAAAACUACCUGAGGGAUAACAGCGUAAU
RNAcentral lists this ribosomal RNA (312 nucleotides) under Conopeum reticulum. RNAcentral describes it as "partial 16S ribosomal RNA". It matches the Rfam family "Bacterial large subunit ribosomal RNA", at positions 1921 to 2486 of the family's 2925-position model. Lineage: Eukaryota; Metazoa; Bryozoa; Gymnolaemata; Cheilostomatida; Electridae. The record is from RNAcentral.